This is a long non-coding RNA of Mytilus californianus (California mussel), 1519 nucleotides long. RefSeq lists it as uncharacterized. The transcript has 5 exons. NCBI's taxonomy places the organism in Eukaryota, Metazoa, Mollusca, Bivalvia, Mytilida, Mytilidae. The record is from RefSeq and is a predicted model, not a curated record.
UACCAAUUUAAUGAAAACAUUUACAAGCAGUUUCCAGAAACAUUGAAAAAACAGAAAAUACACCAUAAUCUUCAUACUGAGCAACAAAUCAGACUUCAUGGGGUCCCUAUAGGUUAUACUACUGAGACAGGGGAAAGCUGGUGUGGUAUAGUCAAACAUUUUCAGAGCAUUACAAACCACCACAAUGCCAACAAAGACACAGCUUUGAAGUUAGCUCAUGUUGAGGAAGUUUGCCAUAUCAUUGACAGUGGGACAUGGUUUUCAAAUGGGAAAAGAGUUCAACCUGCACAACAGACAAUUGAAGAGAUAAAUCAUCCACGGAUUCAAACUUUUGUAAUGGGAAAUAGGACACAGAAAGAAGAUGAACAAAUUAUAGGAGUGAAAAGAAAUGUAGGAGACGAAAUCAGAAACAUGAAAAGGAAGGAUGGAAGUAAAUUAAACAUUGGAGAAAUUGUUUAUUUUAAAUUAGAUGACCAUAUUAAUUAUGGUAAAAUUGACUGCAAAACCAGUUCAGAUGUUACUGUUUUGUUGAUGAUACCUCACCAGGAAGAUCCCUUAUUCCAUUGCAAGAGCCUUACACUCACCACAAGAAGAAAAAGCUUGCCUUACAAUAUCAUUGAGGGCUCUUUGUUUGUAUCUCAUGAUUGUAGAAAUGGUGGAUGCUGUUCCAUGGUUACAAACCAAUCUAUUAGACAAUUUCGUCAUAAUUAUAAACAUGGUGUCUAUCUUAUUAACAGAUUUAAAAUUCAUUUUAAUUAUAAACAAUUUAAUUCCUGAUUUAAGGGCAUACUAUAUAGUUAAGCUAUAUGUUCAUGUUAAACACAAUAAAGGGAACAGUCCAAGUUUGCACCUGGGGUAAGAAAUAGAGAUCAGCACAAUUGAAAAAGAAUUGUUAUCCUUAAUUAAUAAUAUUCGAUUUUUAUAAAACUUAUUUGGUAAGUGAAAAAACUACUGGAAAUGUUUUACAUUUUAAUUUUACAUUCUAAUUUGUAUUUGGUUAGGCAAGUGCUCAGGUCACAGACACUACUGGUAAUAAUCACCUCUGGAAAUGUAUGUCUUUAAUAAAAUAUAACAAGUCUUUAAAGCACUAUUAUAAUUCCAAAAUCAACUAAUUAUUAUACCAAACAAAGAAAUCACAGGAAAAAUGUAAUAUCUUUUAUAUUCAGAAAAAAAUAAUACCACCAUUCUUAAUAAAUGAAAAACCGGAUUAUUGGCUACCUUUUUCCAUAAAUUUUCUGAAAACAUCAAUACUUUAGGUGAAUAAAAUUUAGUCAAAUAUAUUUUUCCGUCAGUCAUACUACUGGAAUUGUAAAUAAGUCAAAAAUAAAGGAAAAUUUACCAUAGAAUAUACUUGUGGUCAUCAAAAUAACUUUUAAAUGCAUUCUUCAAACAAACAAAAAACUCUAAUGUCAAAUACAGAUCUAUAACAAUUCUACAUGAUUGUGUUCAUAAUAUGAAUUUGAAAUAAUACCAAAAAAACUCAUCUUUUCAGUUUAUAACCAACUGAUACAAAAUUGUU